Molecule: long non-coding RNA, 1117 nt
Filed under: Hordeum vulgare
Lineage: Eukaryota; Viridiplantae; Streptophyta; Magnoliopsida; Poales; Poaceae
Description: long non-coding RNA (HVUL_LNC016528)
Source: RNAcentral
GAUGAGGGAGGAGGCCAGGGCCGAGCGGAGGGACGCGCUCCUCACCAACCUGCUCAAUAAACUCUUGCGCGACGACUUCUAGGGAGGGACACGUGGCUCGACGACGCGUGCCUGAUAAUCAACAAAAUUCGUUACUUGUAGCAUAGGAUAUGGCAGUGGAUCAAUAGAAAUUCUUUGUUUGCUUUGUCCUCACCUCAGCAUAGAUUAAUCCGUAGGAAUUUUAAGUCAUUUUAGUAGUAAGAUAUCAGUUGCAUACACAUGUAAUUGCUAGCUAAGAUGCUGCCAAAUGCUGUGCUCCGUGUCUUUGUGGAAGGGUAAAUGUUUUUUUCUGCCAGACAUAGCAGAACAAAUAUAUGUUUUUACAUAUUAUUAUUAUGUACUGCCAUUCAUAUCAAUCCAUCAAAAUUCUGCCAACAAACAAAAAAAUUGGGAAGUGAGAACAUGUGAUUAAAUGCACAGCGCGGGGGAUCUAUCAUGCAGAUGGCUAGUCUAGUGUACACAAAUCCACAAUUUACUGUAAGAUGUAAAGUGCGAGUGAUCGACAGAAUCCACAAAUUUUCUGCGUAGAACUGUCUAGUCUAGUGUACAGAUCUAUCAUGCAGAUGGCUAGUAGGUAGAUUAAUACGGGCAACAUGUUGUUAGUACUACUUACUAGGAAGGUGUACAACCAAAUAAAAGUAUACGUUACAAAAUACUGAUCAAUCUGUAGGCUUGUGAAGUUGUGUUCCUUCCGAUGUGCAGAUUGUAAUUGUGUUCCUUCGGAUUCCGAUGUUCAGAUUGUAAUUGUGUUCCUUCCGAGUUCCGAUGUUCAGAUUGUAAUGAAUUACUUCCUGAAUAUUGUCUUCAGUCUACGUUACAAACUAUAAGGGCAGAGCCCCAGUUCAUUUUUNNNNNNNNNNNNNNNNNNNNNNNNNNNNNNNNUGUCAGUUCACAGCAGUCAAAGGCCAUAAAGGGUGAGCAAGCUUGGCAGAAAAUAACCUUUACAAGCAAAAACCGCCACUUGGAGACUUUUCAAGCUCUACCACCAAACCACUAAAAUAUAGCAAAUCUGUUCGCAGCAAGAACUUGACGAUGAUGCAGUACAUCCAUUCACCGGACAUCUCCUACUCCCUGGUAC